Alligator mississippiensis (American alligator) is the source of this 4231-nucleotide long non-coding RNA. RefSeq lists it as uncharacterized. The record is from RefSeq and is a predicted model, not a curated record. NCBI's taxonomy places the organism in Eukaryota, Metazoa, Chordata, Crocodylia, Alligatoridae. The transcript is spliced from 2 exons.
GCGGCCAUCGUUCUAAACCCGGAGUCACUCCGGAUCGGGGUCGCCGGGUCGGGUGAUGUAGCUCUAGCCUUAGGAUGACUCUAGAUUGGGAUGAGAGUCCCCCGAUUGGCGUGGCUGUGGCUCUGGUUCUGGUGUGACUCCGGAUCGAGGUCCCCAGGCUGGGCUGCCUAUGGCUCUAACCCUGGGGUGACUCCGGAUCAGGACCGGAGUCCCCCGAUUGGCGUGGCUGUGGCUCUGGUCUCCGCAUGACUCCGGAUCGGGGUCCCCAGGCUGGGCUGUCACUGGCUCUAACCCCGGGGUGACUCCGGAUCAGGAUUGGAGUCCCCCGAUUGGCGUGGCUGUGGCUCUGGUCCCCGCAUGAGUCUGGAUUGGGGUCCGCAGGCCGGGCUGGCCAUGGUUUGACUCCGGAUCAGAUCAGAAUCAGGGUCCCAGAUUGGCGUGGCUGUGGCCCAGGAGUGACUCCGGAUCAGGCCCCCUAGGCUGGCACUUCCUAAGUAGCUGGUUGCUCGCCGGCCCCUUAAGACCUUCAUGCGAUCCCCUCUGGCCGGGCGCCAGGCCCAGGCGGCCCCUGCCAGGGAAGGGAGAAGCAAAGCUGGGGGCCGGGGCGAUCUGUGGGUGCUGUUUGCGUGGGUGAAAAAGGUGUUGCCUGGAGGAUCCUGCUGGGGUAAGGCCAGCGCCUGGGCAGGCAAACGCAGCCCCUGUCCCCAAGGAGCCACUCUGCCUCCUCCCGGGAGCCGUCCCAUUGCCAUCCAGGGGCACCCGCUCCUGUGAGCAAGGCAUUGCAGCCCCAGGCGCUCCCUCAGGCAAGUGCAUCAGCCAGCCUUUAGCCUCCAGGCCUUCUCCGUUCCCAGUGUCGUGCCUUUGGCAAUACAGGCAGCCUGGGCUCCUGAGAAACUCCCCCUCGGUGUCUGUUGGCAUCUUCAGGCACUCCGGUCCCUUUGAAAAGCUGCUUUUCACUCCCUGGGAUGUAGUUGUUAAAUGGGGAUCAUGCUGCUGAUUCCCCCCUGCCCUAAACUGCUUUGAAAUCGUGGCACGAACAGCACUACAUCGCAAGCAGAGAGUAUUAUCUCUUCGUCCUCGGGGGCCUGCGGAGCAGGAGACCGUCUCUGCGGGUAGUUAGCUACCGAGAGCAGGACCGCGAGGAACCAGCAGUGAACUUUGUGCCUGUGUUUGUCACAGCCUCCGCCAUCCGAGGGAUGCGUUUGCCCCUGGAUGUUUAUAAUGGAUGGCAACAUGAAUUAUGCACGGGCAUCCAGAGAGCAGACUCAGGCGUCUGCAUGUCUUCCCUGGCUGCAGUAACUUGGUGUUUCAGCCACGGCAACAGACUAUAUUUUAUUAAUGAAAGCAUCUAGUGCAUGGGAGAUGAUGACAACACCCAGAGCACAGCCAUGGCACAGAGCCCCCAGCAACCCACGUCGGGUCACACACCAGCUCUGCCCACCUAGUGCGUGCAGGGUCAGGGGGCUCGCUUGUCAGAGCUCCUAGUACAACGGGACUCAAUGCUCUUGUGCCUUUUCUUUUCCUUGGGCCUUGGUCUUUUCCAGGCUCGUUUCACAGUCACCUUAAUAUGCAGUUAACUUCCCAGCAUUGACCGGGUUGUAGGUAUCCUUCACAUCCAGCCCUUGGAGCACACCAAAGAAGAGAAGGACUCUACCGCAUUAACCUCUACCUGCGUCUUGUUAGCUCUUGAUCAUCGAUUUCCUAUUUAUGCAGCUGAAAGAAGACAAAGACACCUGAUCAAGCAAAACGCUGUCCUUUUACCGGCAUUUAUUAAUGGAACAGUGGGAGGCAAAGCACAUUUUUGCUGAGGGGGUUGAUUCCUUGCUGCAGUGGGCUGGUUUUGAUUUUGUGGUUGGUGUUUUUUUUUCCCUUUGCUUGCUGUCUACGCAUUUGUUUGCUGCAGGGCAUGAGGACAGUCUUAAAUAUUUGUUGUCAGGACAGGAGAUGAGCACUGCUGCUUGGUGCUUGCCAGGUGAAUUAUCCUCUCCUGCACCCCUGAGUCAGCACCUUAGCGAGCUAAUUUAAUUCCCAAAUAUUUGGAGGCUGAAGAUCACGAGGUGCCUGCUGGGCCCAGGGUGCAGGGAGCCUGACUAAAGCUCUUCUGCUGAAUCCAGGAGAAGGGUAUCUAUUGUGUUCCCACUUGCCUCUAAUAGGUGUAUUUUUGAGGGGGUGGAGGGUGGAGAGCACUUGCAGGAUGCACUUGUGCAGGAGGAAACAUUCAUUUAAUGCUGGGGUUUGCAACCUCUGGCCGGUGGGCCAGAUCCAGCUUGUGAAGCCAGUUUAUCCAACCCGCAGAGUCGGUGGACUUUGAUGUUUCAGUGGCAGGGGGCUUCAGCAAUGUUCCAGCAGUGGCGGAGCAUGGCCCACUUUGCACCCGAGCUGUGUUGUCUCAGCUUCAGUUUGUUAUAUGGGUAUCAACCACUGACCUCAUGAAAGCGGAUUUCAGGUCUGCAGAGGGAGCCUAUGGGGAACUAGCCUCACUUCAUUUUGGGGCUUAGCAGAAUGAUUACUGAAAGUUGGACUCUAAACCCGCGUCCCGCGGAUGUCUCCAUUCAAGACAGCUUCCCUCUUGCUCCUCCGUCCGACUCGGGCCUGAGAGGAGAAUCCUGGCUUCCCGCACUGCUUGCCGGGCUCUCACCACCCCCUCUUUUCCAUCCCGGAGCGGGAAGCAGGGCUGACCUGGAGGAACCUGCUCUGUUCUCUUCCACGACGCAGCACCGUCCCAGCCCGCAUGGGUUAGCCUGGAAGCUAGUCGCAAAAUGGCAUCAAGAGGGGAUGCCCUCUUCUCGCCAUGUUAGCAAUGCAGGAGCUGGCAAGGGAGCCUGGCUUCCUUCUGAAGCCUUCAGCAUCAGGCACUAUUAGAGAUGAGGCAAUGGCCUGGGUGGCACAUUAGUUUGCCCCACAUUUAUUCUUCUCCCACCAUUAGGUCAGAUGAGAGACAGGGGAAUUUGCAGUGCAGUGCGUGGUGGCUGAGAUGGAAGAAAGAUCCUGAGAAGAUGAUGGAGGUUCCUCUCUCCACUUCUGAAGAUCCUUGACAGCCAUCUGUGCUCCUGAGAGACAGCACUGAAGGAACAACUGAGCUGACGGGCCCAUAUCCCCCACACAGACAAACCACAAACUAUCUCCAAGAGAUGCAAUGGGAAUGGAGCCAGACGAGUACAAAUGGCAUCAAUUCACCCCGAGAGAAGCCGGGACUGACGUCUCCACUGCCUGAUCCAUGUGAAGAGGAACUGCAGGCCAGCAGCCAGAGGGAUGCGCCUGGCCAUGGGUGUGCAAGAGUCCUGCUCCAUCAGAAACAAUCCCCAUCUGCCAGAGCUCGAGGCAGGGAGGCAGCAAGUUCCCAGCUCCUGCCUUUAAAGAAAUAGGCCCCAUUUCUUCCAGAAGCAGCAGCUUAGCCUGGCUGUUAAACUGGAAAGGGCUCAAAUUCCUUCUCUGCUGUGUUACCCAAAUGGCCUUCCAGCAGCCCUGGACAUGAAAGGAAACUCCCAGAGCCUGGAGGGCACUUACUCCUGUGCAACACCACUGCCAAAGCAAAGCAGUGGCUUCUUAAGCUCACUUCCCUCUGGUGGAAAAGGUGACCCAAGAUGCAAGGCAAGGCUGGAGACACGGUAGCUAUAUGGCUUGGUAGAGAGGUGGGGUCCAGAGCCCACCACUGCUGGGAAGAGGCUGAGGGGCAGAAGACAGUGAAGGACAUUGAUAUGGAAGCAAGGCCCCCUUACAAGUUAGGGUGGAAUGAAAGGUUAAGCCUAGAGCGAUGUCCUUGGAAGGAAGAAGGUCCCACACCAAGAGCUGCUAGAAUAUUUUAUUGUUUACAGUCAGUUCAUGUUUUCCUACGGUCUGGGAGAGCCACCGCUCUCGGGGGCAGUGGAGCUGGGGCUGCUGCUGCUGCUUUAGAGAAGUGUUUGAACAUAUGCACUAAAGUGAUGCCAACUGUACAGCACAACUCCCUUCACCCCGCUCCCUCCCCUGCCAUGUGACAUCUCCCAAGCUACCACCUCCCUGAUAGGCACUGGCAUGGAGGCUAUAUAGUCAGCACAGCUGGCACUUGGAGCUUAACCCAAGCAAUCUCCUAGAUUUGGGGGCUUCCGUGGGUUAAUGACUGCCUGCAAAUGCAGGGAAGGGGACUUCAUGGCCCAGAAAGCCCUAUCCAGUCCUGUAUUCAUCUCCCAGGCACAUAAUCCCAGCCCUCUGCAUGCAUAGCCCACACAGUACAGCAGUCCUGGCAGGAGAG